UGUUCCCUUCAUAGAAGAAAAAGAAGAAGCAGCAGCAGCAUAAAUAUCAGUGCAGUUGCUACACUUCUUUGUCAAAUAUUUAGAGGUUUGAGGAGAUCGAGAUGGCUUUGAGCGCUUCAUCCAGGAAGGAAAGACUCUACAAACUGGUCGCUGUAAGCGUUGGACUACUUUGUAUUCUGCAGGCUGCAGCAAACAUCGGACUGCGUCUUUCUCUUUGUGAGUGAUUGUACAUCUCUUAUUUUACCCUGUGAUUCCUGUGAAAUGGUUGCACUGCCAACGGGAAGCCGGAUUUGGAGGAAAUUAUCAAGAAUUUGACUGAAAAAGAAGAAGAUUUAAAAGGGAAGCUGAGUAACUGUGAUGGUUGCACUGCAAGGAAGCUUGAGUUGGAGGCAAUUCUAAAGAAUUUGACUGAAAAUGGAGAAUAUUUAAAAGAGAAGCUGAGUAACUUUGAUCACUACCUCAAACAGGGAUGGGUGUAUUUUGACCAGAGUUUCUAUUACAUUUCUUCUUCUCAAAUGUCCUGGCAAGACAGCAGAGACGACUGUCUGCAAAACGGUUCCAACCUGAUAAUAAUCACCAGCAAAGAAGAGCAGGACUUUGCAAGACAAUUCAAAAAACGCAGCUGGAUUGGACUGACUGACACGGAGACAGAAGGGACAUGGAAAUGGGUCGAUGGGACUGAACCGAAAGAAAGGUACUGGACAACUGGGGAGCCCAACAGCUACCAAGGUUCCAAUGAAGACUGUGGAGAAAUUAGGUUCUAUGAAGAACAACAUAACUGGAAUGAUUUAGAAUGUAGUUACAAAAACUUCUGGAUCUGUGAAAAGGCUUUGGCUCAAUAACUUAUCCACUGUAUCCAAACCCACCAGACUCAUAAAAAUCAUUAAUCAGUUCAUGAUUGACACAAACAUGUCACUGUAAUAAAAGCACCGAUGUGAAAAAUAACAUUAAUAGUGGCUGAUUUCCCUUUGGCUGCUUCACAUUUAGAGAUUCCAUGGUGGUGCAUGAAAUACUUAAUAUUGUACAUGUAGUAUGAACCGUAAAACCUCUGCUUUAUAUUUUACAUUAAGUCUCAUUUUAUUUCCCCACGCAAAUAUCAGCAGUGCUACACAAACACGCAUUAUGUUUUGUUAAUUGUUUAAGGUCUUGGUAGGAUGUAACCUAUCCCAGUAUGAAAAUAAAUAAAUAAAUCAA
Molecule: non-coding RNA, 1194 nt
Organism: Gasterosteus aculeatus aculeatus (three-spined stickleback)
Lineage: Eukaryota; Metazoa; Chordata; Actinopteri; Perciformes; Gasterosteidae
Source: RefSeq, a predicted model, not a curated record